GAGUUUGAUCCUGGCUCAGGAUUAACGCUGGCGGCGUGCCUAAUACAUGCAAGUCGAACGGAAGUACCUUCGGGUACUUUAGUGGCGAACGGGUGAGUAAUACAUAGGUAACCUACCCUUAAGACGAGGAUAGCCAUUGGAAACGAUGGAUAAAACUGGAUAGGAUAUAGAGGAAGAAUCUUUUAUAUCUAAAAGAGAGAUCUGCUUAAGGAGGGGCCUGUGGCGCAUUAGCUAGUUGGUGGGGUAAGGGCCUACCAAGGCGAUGAUGCGUAGCCGGACUGAGAGGUUGAACGGCCACAAUGGAACUGAGAACGGUCCAUACUCCUACGGGAGGCAGCAGUAGGGAAUUUUCGGCAAUGGGGGGAACCCUGACCGAGCAACGCCGCGUGAACGAAGAAGUUAUUCGUAAUGUAAAGUUCUU
Molecule: ribosomal RNA, 421 nt
Filed under: uncultured bacterium
Lineage: Bacteria
Description: bacterial SSU rRNA
Rfam family: Bacterial small subunit ribosomal RNA
Source: RNAcentral